Paramisgurnus dabryanus is the source of this 1069-nucleotide long non-coding RNA. RefSeq lists it as uncharacterized. Lineage: Eukaryota; Metazoa; Chordata; Actinopteri; Cypriniformes; Cobitidae. The record is from RefSeq and is a predicted model, not a curated record.
AAGUAGUUUGAUUUAUUUAACAUAAUUGUGUUUGCAACACUGCCCUCUUUUGGUUAACCUGCAGCAGUACCUCUGGCUUAAGUUUCACUUUCAGUUAGUUGAGUGUGCCUCAGAGCAGAGUGCUGGUGUUGUUUUCUCUUGCUGCAAUUUCUUCCUUUUACAUUGUUGCCUUGGAUAUUAUUUGUCCUUUUACAGUGCAAUAAGAAAAGUAAAGUUUCUUCAUGGAACUCAAGAAAAGUUAUGCCUUGUGUUUUUUCUGGAGAACUUUACACUGUUAGCUAACUGUCAAGCUUUGAAGAAGCAACUCAUUGCAAGGACAGUAUAAUAUCCCUCGGGUCGGGAAUUCUAAACAGAUGGGGGUAAACACAGAGCAUUCCCUGCAAACCUGGAGGACCCUGAGCGCCAGAAAGACCAGCAGGCCCAACACCACCCUACAGAUGACAAGAAUUAUAUGAAUGAAUGAAUGGAUGAAUGAAUGAUGACUGCUCAGUCUAAUAUCACCCUGUGGUUUUCUGUUGAAACAGUACUUACUGUGCAAUGCUCUUACAAUACAAAACACAAGAUUUUCUAAGAUUCAUUGGUUUAUUGCUCAAGGACGAUUUCUGUUGUGAUUGUUCAGUUAAAGGGAUAGUUCACCAAAAAUGGAAAAUGAGCCUGUGGUUUACUCACCCUGAGAUACAUAUGACCAUCUUCUUUGAGUCGAAAAAUUUUAACCAAGUUACAUUAGAAAAUGUCCAGGCUCUUCCAAGCCUUUAAAGGGCGUUUUGCAGGUAAAAUUUUCAACGAAUUUGUGCAAUUUGCUUGUUAAUAAUAAACAUUUAAACUGUUAUCCAUUGUAUUUUAUGUUGUUGAGUAUCACAAAACCCGAAAAAGUAUGAAAAAGUACAGCGGUUUGCAAUGAUUCUCCUUUCCCCCACAACGCACUGUAUGACGUCACGCUGGGGAGAGAAUUUACCAAAGCAGCCUUGAGAGCAUUGAGAAUGACUAUAGAAAGACGAGUAAAGUACAGUUCUGAUAGCGCAGAUUAUUUACAUAGAUAGAUAGAUAGAUAGAUAGAUAGAUAGAUAGA